GACGAACGCUGGCGGCGUGCCUAAUACAUGCAAGUUGAGCGCUGAAGGUUGGUACUUGUACCAACUGGAUGAGCAGCGAACGGGUGAGUAACGCGUGGGGAAUCUGCCUUUGAGCGGGGGAUAACAUUUGGAAACGAAUGCUAAUACCGCAUAAAAACUUUAAACACAAGUUUUAAGUUUGAAAGAUGCAAUUGCAUCACUCAAAGAUGAUCCCGCGUUGUAUUAGCUAGUUGGUGAGGUAAAGGCUCACCAAGGCGAUGAUACAUAGCCGACCUGAGAGGGUGAUCGGCCACAGUGGGACUGAGACACGGCCCAAACUCCUACGGGAGGCAGCAGUAGGGAAUCUUCGGCAAUGGACGAAAGUCUGACCGAGCAACGCCGCGUGAGUGAAGAAGGUUUUCGGAUCGUAAAACUCGGUUGGUAGAGAAGAACGUUGGUGAGAGUGGAAAGCUCAUCAAGUGACGGUAACUACCCAGAAAGGGACGGCUAACUACGUG
RNAcentral lists this ribosomal RNA (497 nucleotides) under uncultured bacterium. RNAcentral's name for it is "partial 16S ribosomal RNA". It matches the Rfam family "Bacterial small subunit ribosomal RNA", at positions 28 to 507 of the family's 1533-position model. The record is from RNAcentral.